This 465-nucleotide ribosomal RNA is filed under the name uncultured bacterium. Its description in RNAcentral is "bacterial SSU rRNA". It matches the Rfam family "Bacterial small subunit ribosomal RNA", at positions 338 to 795 of the family's 1533-position model. The record is from RNAcentral.
CCUACGGGUGGCAGCAGUGGGGAAUUUUGGACAAUGGGCGAAAGCCUGAUCCAGCAAUGCCGCGUGCAGGAAGAAGGCCUUCGGGUUGUAAACUGCUUUUGUACGGAACGAAAAGGUCUGCCUUAAUACGGUGGGCCCAUGACGGUACCGUAAGAAUAAGCACCGGCUAACUACGUGCCAGCAGCCGCGGUAAUACGUAGGGUGCGAGCGUUAAUCGGAAUUACUGGGCGUAAAGCGUGCGCAGGCGGUUAUAUAAGACAGUUGUGAAAUCCCCGGGCUCAACCUGGGAAUUGCAUCUGUGACUGUAUAGCUAGAGUACGGUAGAGGGGGAUGGAAUUCCGCGUGUAGCAGUGAAAUGCGUAGAUAUGCGGAGGAACACCGAUGGCGAAGGCAAUCCCCUGGACCUGUACUGACGCUCAUGCACGAAAGCGUGGGGAGCAAACAGGAUUAGAUACCCAUGUAGUC